RNAcentral lists this ribosomal RNA (371 nucleotides) under uncultured Sterolibacterium sp. RNAcentral's name for it is "bacterial SSU rRNA". It matches the Rfam family "Bacterial small subunit ribosomal RNA", at positions 527 to 896 of the family's 1533-position model. Lineage: Bacteria; Pseudomonadati; Pseudomonadota; Betaproteobacteria; Nitrosomonadales; Sterolibacteriaceae. The record is from RNAcentral.
GUAGGGUGCGAGCGUUAAUCGGAAUUACUGGGCGUAAAGCGUGCGCAGGCGGUUUUGUAAGACAGAUGUGAAAUCCCCGGGCUUAACCUGGGAACUGCGUUUGUGACUGCAAGACUUGAGUGUGGCAGAGGGGGGUGGAAUUCCACGUGUAGCAGUGAAAUGCGUAGAGAUGUGGAGGAACACCGAUGGCGAAGGCAGCCCCCUGGGUCAACACUGACGCUCAUGCACGAAAGCGUGGGUAGCAAACAGGAUUAGAUACCCUGGUAGUCCACGCCCUAAACGAUGCGAACUAGGUGUUGGGGAAGGAGACUUCCUUAGUACCGCAGCUAACGCGUGAAGUUCGCCGCCUGGGGAGUACGGUCGCAAGAUUA